This 61-nucleotide transfer RNA is filed under the name Micrurus surinamensis. RNAcentral describes it as "tRNA-Met". Lineage: Eukaryota; Metazoa; Chordata; Lepidosauria; Squamata; Elapidae. The record is from RNAcentral.
GUAAAGUCAGCUAAACAAGCUAUCGGGCCCAUACCCCGAAAACGCCACACGGCCUUUACUA